Molecule: ribosomal RNA, 208 nt
Filed under: uncultured bacterium
Lineage: Bacteria
Description: partial 16S ribosomal RNA
Rfam family: Bacterial small subunit ribosomal RNA
Source: RNAcentral
CACGUAGGUGGGUCGUUAAGUCAGGGGUGAAAUCCCGGAGCUCAACUCCGGAACUGCCUUUGAUACUGGCGACCUUCGAGUCCGGGAGAGGUGAGUGGAAUUGCGAGUGUAGAGGUGAAAUUCGUAGAUAUUCGCAAGAACACCAGUGGCGAAGGCGGCUCACUGGCCCGGUACUGACACUGAGGUGCGAAAGCGUGGGGAGCAAACA